RNAcentral lists this ribosomal RNA (663 nucleotides) under Vibrionaceae bacterium fug-1-10-16. RNAcentral's name for it is "bacterial SSU rRNA". It matches the Rfam family "Bacterial small subunit ribosomal RNA", at positions 31 to 670 of the family's 1533-position model. The record is from RNAcentral. Lineage: Bacteria; Pseudomonadati; Pseudomonadota; Gammaproteobacteria; Vibrionales; Vibrionaceae.
UGACGCUGGCGGCAGGCCUAACACAUGCAAGUCGAGCGGAAACGAGUUAUCUGAACCUUCGGGGAACGAUAACGGCGUCGAGCGGCGGACGGGUGAGUAAUGCCUGGGAAAUUGCCCUGAUGUGGGGGAUAACCAUUGGAAACGAUGGCUAAUACCGCAUAAUAGCUUCGGCUCAAAGAGGGGGACCUUCGGGCCUCUCGCGUCAGGAUAUGCCCAGGUGGGAUUAGCUAGUUGGUGAGGUAAUGGCUCACCAAGGCGACGAUCCCUAGCUGGUCUGAGAGGAUGAUCAGCCACACUGGAACUGAGACACGGUCCAGACUCCUACGGGAGGCAGCAGUGGGGAAUAUUGCACAAUGGGCGCAAGCCUGAUGCAGCCAUGCCGCGUGUAUGAAGAAGGCCUUCGGGUUGUAAAGUACUUUCAGCAGUGAGGAAGGUGGUUGUGUUAAUAGCACUAUCAUUUGACGUUAGCUGCAGAAGAAGCACCGGCUAACUCCGUGCCAGCAGCCGCGGUAAUACGGAGGGUGCGAGCGUUAAUCGGAAUUACUGGGCGUAAAGCGCAUGCAGGUGGUUUGUUAAGUCAGAUGUGAAAGCCCCGGGCCUCAACCUCGGAAUUGCAUUUGAAACUGGCAGACUAGAGUACUGUAGAGGGGGGGUAGAAAUUUC